This 468-nucleotide ribosomal RNA is filed under the name uncultured bacterium. RNAcentral's name for it is "partial 16S ribosomal RNA". It matches the Rfam family "Bacterial small subunit ribosomal RNA", at positions 28 to 507 of the family's 1533-position model. The record is from RNAcentral.
GACGAACGCUGGCGGCGUGCUUAACACAUGCAAGUCGAACGGAAAGGCCCUGCUUUUGUGGGGUGCUCGAGUGGCGAACGGGUGAGUAACACGUGAGUAACCUGCCCUUGACUUUGGGAUAACUUCAGGAAACUGGGGCUAAUACCGGAUAGGAGCUCCUGCUGCAUGGUGGGGGUUGGAAAGUUUCGGCGGUUGGGGAUGGACUCGCGGCUUAUCAGCUUGUUGGUGGGGUAGUGGCUUACCAAGGCUUUGACGGGUAGCCGGCCUGAGAGGGUAGCCGGCCACAUUGGGACUGAGAUACGGCCCAGACUCCUACGGGAGGCAGCAGUGGGGAAUAUUGCACAAUGGGCGGAAGCCUGAUGCAGCAACGCCGCGUGCGGGAUGACGGCCUUCGGGUUGUAAACCGCUUUCGCCUGUGACGAAGCGUGAGUGACGGUAAUGGGUAAAGAAGCACCGGCUAACUACGUG